CCAAAACAAUUCAAUCAAGUUUUUCAUUAAAAAGAGGAAAUUUUCAAUUGUGUGCAUGCCUUGUACACAAAAUAAUUGUCCCAACACAAAAUUAUCUUCUCAAACACGCAAUGCUCCAAAUUAUUUUUCUCCAUACACAUCCAUAAAAAGAUGGGUUGCAAAACUAUGCCGUGGACAUGAUGCAAUCAAUGGCCUGCUUGCAAAUUCCUGUCAUUGUAGCCUCAGGCCCAUAAACCUGCAGAGAAAAUGAAUUGACUCUGUUAAACCUCAAAUAUGUAAAUGUAAAAUGACUUCCAGAUUAUGGAAAAUGGAAAGCAGAAAUAUAUAUUUUCUAAUCACAAGUAUGGCCCAUUGGAUUUUUCUACUUCACUGUCUUCAAAGGUAGAAUGAAAUUUAUGUUGUUUUUAAUGCAAAAAAGAAUCCCAGUUUUUCCAACAGGUAGUAUGCAAUUCAGCUACUAAUUAUAAGUUUUGUUUAUGUGUGGAAUUAAGGAUCACCAGGCCCAAUUAAAAAUGUGCAUCAUGUCAUUUCAUACCUCAAGAGGCACCCCCAACUCUUCUCCCAAAGAGCGCAUCUUUGCCAAACCAAUCUGGUAGUUUGGACCACCUCUUCGAACAUAGAUGUGCAUUCUUGCUGCUUUUAACUUGGAUUCCUUUUCUCUGAGGGCUCGAAUGAUGCCAUUGAAAGUAGCUGCAACAUCUGUGAAGUUAGCAAUGCCACCUCCAAUAAGAAGGGCCCUUUUACGACCAUCAGGAUUAGCAGUAGCACAAUCAAUUACAACUCUUGCAUAUUGCAAGACUUCCUCCUCAUUAGGAGCUCCACUAUAUUCUGCAUAGUUGCCAAGCUCUGAUGCAUAACCUAAAUCGCCGACAGUAUCGGCAUAUAUAACACUUGCACCACCUCCAGCUACCAUCGUCCAGAUACGACCUUUUGGGUUUAAAACAGUGAAUUUCAAAGACGCACUUGUCUUUUCAUCCAGUGAAUGAAUGAAGCUUUCAGUAGAGCUCAGAACUCGUCCAAAAGGGAGAGGAAACUCUAUGUUACCCCACUUCUUGAAGUUCUUGAAGGCAGCAGUGUCAUCCAGCUCUCCUCGCAUAUCCAAUGGAUAUGGCUCUCCAUUUACCAGGGUAAACGGAUUCAUCUCUAGAAAACUGAAGUCCAAAUCUUGAAAGACAGCAAAGACGCCCAUUAUGAAGCCACCAAUUUUACCUCGAAUCUCCAAAGGAAGUGUAGCAAUCAAUGGAGCACAUGCCUCCAAGGUCAUAGGUUUCUCAGUAGGAAGGAAUAUGGUCUUAACCUUAUCCCAGUUCUCUUCAAUUUCAAUACCCCCGCAUUCUGAAAAGCUAAUGGUGGAGCCAAGUCUUUCAGAAACUAUUGAGAGGUAGAAUUCUUGGUCAUGUGGAACAAAUGGUUCAACAAUGAAUGUAGUUAUUGGUGCCUUGCAGCCGCCCAUUUCAACCUCAACACCAAGGCGUCCUUUCACAAAUUCAGCAACUUGAGCUAGAUCUAAAUUCAAAGCUACCAAACCGCUCUUCCCACGUUUCCCAAAUAGCAUAUCGGGCUUCACCACCAAUUUUGAAGAAGAAAGCCAUGGUUCUUGAUUUGUUAACUCAGUGAAGUCCGUAGACUCAGUCACCUGAGCAGAGCAAAUCUGGAGAUCAAUAUUAGCAAGGCGUUUCAAGUGCUCCUUGAGAAGUCUCUUGGAAUCAUACUCUCUAAUCUUCUUUCGAGCCAUUAUCAAAUUCAAUUCAGGAUCAAACCCAACUACUAGGAGAAGAGAAGACGGUCAGGAGAGCCAGAGGAUGCGCCUGGUUGGUGGGCGAUUU
RNAcentral lists this unclassified non-coding RNA (1826 nucleotides) under Hevea brasiliensis (rubber tree). The record is from RNAcentral. Lineage: Eukaryota; Viridiplantae; Streptophyta; Magnoliopsida; Malpighiales; Euphorbiaceae.